This is a long non-coding RNA of Rattus norvegicus (Norway rat), 824 nucleotides long. RefSeq lists it as uncharacterized. The record is from RefSeq and is a predicted model, not a curated record. NCBI's taxonomy places the organism in Eukaryota, Metazoa, Chordata, Mammalia, Rodentia, Muridae.
UUUUCAUUUGUUUGUUUGCUCAUUUACACAGGGUUUCAUGUACCCCAGGCUGUCCUCAAACUUGCUCUAUAGCUGAGGGUGACUUCUGGUUCUCCUGCUUCUAUCUCCUGAGCACUGGGAUGACAGAAUCUCAUGCAGGCCAAGACUGGCCUUGAACUCCUUUGUGGGACAGGAUGACGUUGGAUCUCUAGUUGCCUUGCCUCUACUUCCUGAAUGUGGAAACUUCCGAGGGGCACUACCACAUCUGGUCUUAUGCUGGGAUCAAACCAAAGAUGAUCCAACAACCAGAGUGAAGAUGGACAGCCGUGCCUCUCUUGGGUUUGAAGCCCUCUGAUGGUUUCACCUUUAACUAAAUCUUAACUGCCUGCUGUAGACUUCAAGGCUUUGCGUGACUUAUCAUUAGCUCUUCCCUCUCUCCGAAUUCCUCCGUACCUCUCCUCCUAUCUGGAUCCGUUCCCUUUCUGCUUCCCAUCAGAGAAAAACAGGCUUCUAAGAGAUAGCAACAGAACGUAACGACACAAAACCAAAGCCACCCCCUUGCAGUUGGACAAGGCAAACCAACAGGGGCCCGAGAAAAGAAAGACACAAGAAUCGGGGAUCCCCACUUGUGCACGCACACAGGGGCCCUAUGGAAACACUAAACUGGAAGCUGUCACAUAUACACAGAGGACCCGGUGCAGACCUACGUGGACCUUAUGCUUGCUGCUUCAGUCUCUGUGAGGUCGUGUGAGCUUUGCUCACUUGACUCAAAAGAACGUGCUCUCCCGGUGUGUUCUGUCCCCUCUGGCUCUUAUACUCUUUCUGCCUCCUCUUCCACAGUGUCC